UUCUAGUGUACUAUGCAUAAAUCAUCUUAGCUGGGCCAUUAACAUCACUCAACCAGUACUUUCCAGUGACCUAGCACUGUGAAAUUAUAACCAGUCUUCAGCUGCCCCUUCUCUCUGACAUUAUGCCUGCAAAUUGUGACUUGAGGUAGGAUAAUUGGCUUCAAAGAGGGGAAGAAAAGAAAAUCAUCGCGGCAAGGAAAGCAUCUGGGUAGUGUUCAAUGCAGCUCCAAUACUUGAUGCUCAUUUAAAAGAAGUAUCAUACUGAACUAGUCCCCAAAAUGGAAAAGAUCAAUUGAAUAAUGUUGCCUAAAUAGCUCAAGCUAAGAUAAGCAUGACAUGCAAUAUGUUCCCCGUCAAUCCCAUCCAUGAAAUCAAAAUUGUCUCGACUUCCAAAAGGGGUACAUCAUUCAAAGUUAUAACAGUUUUUGAUUUCCACCUUCAUAACUGCUUUUAGGUGCAAUAUUCCUCAAAAAUGAAAUGUUAAGGUAAGUCACUACUCAAACAAAGAUGGACCACACAAGUGUCAGAGACCCCAUUUAAGGCUGCUUUUCUUCAAUAAACCUAACACAGUUCUCUUGCAUCAAACGUGAAAUGUCUCAAGAAGAACAAUGGAAAUUUGUAGCUGGAAGGCACCAUGAAAAAGAACAAGACGGCCUUUCACUUGAUGGGGUGUCUACACAAAUUUAUGUAAAGAUAUCCAACAGCAUAAAGAUGAAGCUCAUAGUAUGUGACUAUGAAUUGCAUACACCACCCGUGACUACUGAUGCAAUGAAAGUUAAUAGGAGUAGCGAGAUACAAAGUCAGCCUACCUUCAGUUGAAGAAUCGAGCUUCACUGCCCAUUCUCGGUUUCCUUGGAUUGAGUACUUGUCAAGCAACACCUCCAAGACA
Molecule: long non-coding RNA, 889 nt
Filed under: Eucalyptus grandis
Lineage: Eukaryota; Viridiplantae; Streptophyta; Magnoliopsida; Myrtales; Myrtaceae
Description: long non-coding RNA (EGRA_LNC007858)
Source: RNAcentral